CGUGAACGCUGAGGAGCAGGCGUGGUAAAGAGGAGGGGGCGCGCGUUGUUCGGAAUUACUGUGCGAAAAGCGAUGUUAGGCGGUCGAUCACGGCAUGUGUGAGAACCCGGUGCUGAACCCUGGGCUUGCAGUGGAGACGGGCAGACUAGAGGCAGGGAGGGGAGAAUGGAAUUCCGGGUGUAGCGGUGAAAUUCGCAGAUAGCGGGAGGAACACCGGUGGCGAAGGCGAUUCUCUGGGCCUGACCUGACGCUGAGGAGCGAAAGCGUGGGGAGCGAACAGGAUUAGAUACCCGUGUAGUC
Molecule: ribosomal RNA, 300 nt
Filed under: uncultured archaeon
Lineage: Archaea
Description: bacterial SSU rRNA
Rfam family: Bacterial small subunit ribosomal RNA
Source: RNAcentral